Molecule: non-coding RNA, 2767 nt
Organism: Physcomitrium patens
Lineage: Eukaryota; Viridiplantae; Streptophyta; Bryopsida; Funariales; Funariaceae
Source: RefSeq, a predicted model, not a curated record
AGGCGAUGGUGUUUGCGGGGGAUGGUCCUCUGCCUCAUCGACUCCGCUCCCCAAUUUAGCCGCCGUGCUCUUCUCUCCUUGCUUCCACUUCCGCAGCCUCUUGACUCGUUGUUGCCCUUCUCCCUUUGUUCUUUUGUCCCCCCCCCCCGUUUUUUUUUUUUUUUUUUUUUUUUUUUUUUCAUCUCUAGUUUUGGGCACCAGCCCCGGAGCGCGAGAAGCUGCUUCUGGGAGUAGUCACCAUGUCUCACUUUGGCAGAGCCGGGCCGCCUGAUAUCAGGGAUACUUACUCGUUGCUCGUGCUCAACAUCACAUUUCGAACUAGCGCUGAUGAUCUUUAUCCAUUAUUUGAUCGAUACGGCAAAGUGGUGGAUAUAUUUAUUCCUAGAGAUCGUCGGACUGGAGAAUCUCGUGGUUUCGCAUUUGUGCGAUACAAAUACGCUGAUGAGGCACAAAAAGCGAUUGAGCGCCUAGAUGGCAGGACCGUUGAUGGAAGAAAUAUCGUGGUGCAGAGUGCCAAAUAUGGUCGAAAUGACGAGCCAAUUCAUCGAGGAAGGAUCACUGACACAACUGUGAGGAAGGUUAGCAGGUCCAGAAGUCAGAGCCCAAGGCGCCCGAGCCGGGAUCGGAGAUACAGAGAGGAGGAUCGGCAUUCGAGAGACACACGCCGCCGUAGUCGCAGCCGAGAUCGCUAUGAAAGAGAGAGGUAUCGUGGUGGAGACCGUGAUGAUAGAUACCAAGGCGGAGAACGGGAUAGAGAAAGAGAAAGAGAAAGGGGUCGUGAUGUUAGGCGUCGCAGCGCUUCUCGUAGCACAAGUCGCAGUCGAAGCCGUAGUCGAGGCCGCGCGGAUAGGGAUUCAAAGCGAUUUGCUCGCAGCGGAUCCGACCGACCUAGGAGUUCUCCCCGGGGUAGUAUCAGCCCAAGUAAAGGACGUAGCUCAAGAAUGAAAAAGAGCAAGAGUCCUGAAAGGAAGAUGACUGUGAGUCGCAGCCGCAGCCGUAGCCGCAGCCGCAGCCGCAGCCGAAGCUUGAGUGGUAGUCCUCGGAAGCUGUCAGAUUCUGAAAAGCCCAUGGAGGAUAUGGAUACAAGGACUAAAGAUUUGUCUCCAGUGGAUCCUGUCCGGGGCAGUGAGUCUCCUGACCUCAAAGCGUCUCCUCCUCUUCGCCGAAUGUCAGUUUCACCAGGAAACCGAAGCCUCUCAGCGUCGCCGGUUCAAGGUAGCAUAUCCCCAGAGCAACCCCACCGCAGUCAGUCACCUGAUGUGCCUCGCAGUGUUUCACCCACUCAGUCUGAUGAAGCUUGAUUUAGAGACAUUCACUUGAGUUCACGCGUUUGGGAAGAAUGGAGUGGCUAGAAUUUAUAAUGGCAUGACGGGCAGCAGACUGAGGAUCGCUGGCUGUGAAAGGAAGUAGCAACUUAAAGUUUCGCCGUUGUGGAUUUGUUUGGCUGCGCUGAGUGGGGUCGUGGGAUUAACACCAUAUUUUUGGUGUGGCACCUGAGCUGUGGUGACUGGUGGCUGCUGGCCUUGGGGACUGCUAAGCUGCAUACUGCUGGUUUUGGGGGAGUUAGUUGGGGCGCUGAGUGUGCAGUCCAGUUGAUCCUCGCUGAUGCUGCUGGCCAGCUCCUACAUUUAUCGUGCCAAUUCGCUGGCAGAUCUACCACGUCUUUAUCCCAGUUGGGGCCCAGCUGCAGCAGUCUAGUGGGAUAUCAGUGUGAGAAUCCUGUGCAGCCUUGCCAAGUGAAGGUAAUAAUUACAGUAUGUGCAUGUACCUGGCCGGUUGUCGUUGUAACCUUGUUUCUUUGUAGAAGAGAUUGAGCUGUUUUUCUUUUUUGCAGGUAUCCCUUUCGUUAAGUCGUCUGACAUUUUGUGCAAGGGGAUUUUGUGUCAUGGGCAUUUCUUGGAUUGUUCGUCAUUCUAUAUUGUUAACCAAGCUUCUCUUAAGGGAAGAAUUGCAUGCCUUGAUCGCUGCAGAGAGGCUAUUAGAAUACUGUUUGCUACAGGAUUGUCUUUGUGAACGGCCAGUUAUGGUGUUCCGACCUCUAAGAACAAGUUAAGGGCGAGGAAAUCUCGCUGGCAUGCGGAAGGGAAAAGUACUCAUUUGUAGGUAUCUGCAGUGCCAAGGCAGCCGAUUUCACACACCUCUAUUCGUAUGUGGAGUAAUUCUAUUGGAUUAUCUGGUAACUACUAUGUGCAGUGCGAAUCUGACGACCAUUGCAAUGUCACCAAGUUAAGAAUGAAGGUGAAGUGCUAAAGCCCGGUGUAUCGGAGAAUUUUCUUUACGUUGGUUUGAUUUAUCAUUGUCUAAGCUUGCUGUUUAAAGAUUUCAGAACUGCAUGUUUACCAACAACCUUAUGAAUUUCGAAAACUACGAGAUAGCGUUAUGCACUAAAGAUUAUAUUAUAUUUAAUCUCUCUCUCUCUCUCUUUCUUCAGUCCUUGUAAAUGUUUUUCGAGAGCGUUUGGUGACAGUCCUGCAGGCUUCUGAACCUCUCUUGGCUCUUGCGCGAUAUGAACUUUUAGUGCAAGGAUCUUCACUCUGGGUUAAUAGCGGUCACACAUUUGUAUGAAGCAAAUGAUUCAUCGUUCAUCGUUAGCCUCUAAAUGUUUUUAAUUCAAUAUGUUUUAUCAUCAUGUAAAAAUGGAACCUUUUCUUCUGCUUAACCUCAUGAUUGUAGAGUUGGUAUAUAGAGUAUUUGUUUGUUUUGGAAAAACAGUGUACACUUCAAUUUAGUAUAGUGAAAAUUAUGUGCUUCCUUAUAGUUCAUCUUA